UGAAUCAUAAGUUAUGAUCGACUCAACUCGCUGCCCCGUCCGCUCGCCUUCAUCUGUCUACUUCCAUAAUCCGUCUUGCUUUGCUGCCGCCGCAAUCAAACACAACCGGCUUCCUGCUCCUCGAUCAAACAUCUCUCUCUUGAUGGCUUAAUUCCAGCCAAUGUUCCAAUAGUGGUUUUCCCCUAAUCGACGACUCAUCUCAAUCUAUUGGUGUUGCAUCAAUGCAAUCUUUCCAAGUUUUCACCUCGGAUAGGUUCUCUUUAUGUGCAGUUUUCUCUGUCCAAAACAAUGUCCAUCGUUUCAUCCCAGGGUCAACAGAUAGUUGCUUCCAAGAUUUCUCUAUAUAGCAGGCGCAGAUCAAGGACAUGCUCUUGCAUAGCUCCUGGAAGGAAAAAUAUCUAGCAAAUACAUGCAGAACCAUGACGUGAAGAUAUUAUAUCUUGCAGUCCAUCAGUGGAGUAUUCGUUUGAGAAAUCGAUCGACAAAGUAAUUUGGCGGAGUUGUUGGUUUAAUUAUGGUGUUCCGCGAUAUCUUAUGUCCUAACUCGGUAGCAAAUAAGAUACAAGAUCAGGUUUGUUCAAUUUAGUAAAUAAACUGUCUGUAUCGGCUGCCUGUCAGACCUGUUUUCUCUUCUCAUGCAGAGAUCCAAAGUGGUGUUUUAAUUCUGACCAGCGAAUCAAUGCAGUGUGUGGUAUGGUGUACUGAAUACUUCUGUGGAAUAUUUACUAUAUAUUCCUCUUAAUGCUUUUCAUGUUGUUUAAAACCAUAUUUCAACCUACUUUUCUGAAAUUAAGCAUCUCUUCUUAUUUUGUUGGAAAGUGGAUAUGUCAUUUUGGAGCAUUACUAGGUUUUCUAUAUCUACUUCUCUGCAUUUCUCACAAGCAAAAUAUUUUUUUCAGUUAACUUCGAUCUGUUCUUUCAAUUUUAUGCUCAUGUAAUGAUCCAAUAAAGAUAUGUGCAUCUUGGAAGAAUAAAUUAUGCUCUGUUCAGAUGGAAUUUCUUCUGAUUAUGCAUUCAGAAUUUCAAUUAGGAGGCACCAUACCAGCACUUAUUCCAAGCAACAAGGAAGAUCGAAAAAUGAUGCACAAGUUAACCUCUUGGUGAGGACAAUUACUUAAUGGACGGAAAAUAGGUUGUUUAUCUAUAUAGAUGGCGCUACUUGAAAUUAUUAUUUGUAAGUAUUAAAUGACAUUCCUUUGGUGUAUAUGUACAUUCUUUAUUAUGCAUCACUUCAAGAAUUAAUUGAAAUUAUUUUUUUGUACACAAAUUGAUAUUGGUUGGAAAGACCACAAGAGCCUUUUUAUUUUUUUGACAAGGUUGGCAUAAUUUUCAAGUUUAGAACUUCUGCAAUUACACAAAGAAAACAUAUUGUUCAUCGUUUGCAAAUAUUUAUUGAUAGAUGCUAACAGAUUUCUGCCCUAUUUAUAUAUGAGAUCAUGGUUCAAUAUAUUUAUGAAAUUUCUAAGAUCACCCUAAUAUCUUUGAUAAUUGGUCCAUAAUUUUCUAUCUUCUAAAUAAAUAUUGCUUCCAUGGAUUAUUGUAGGCCGAACAAACUAAUUUCCUGCACCAUAUGUACUAGAUUUCCCAAAUGCAAAAUGAGGUCUCAAUAUAUUCGGUGAAUGGGUUAAACUAUUACAAAAAAUGAUCAUGUUGAACGGUUAAUUUUUGUAAUCUUACAUCUACUUUUUAUAUUUUUAUUAUAUGAAUAUAAUAUAUCAUAAAUUAUGCAAUAUUUGUAUCUUCUU
Molecule: long non-coding RNA, 1745 nt
Organism: Triticum aestivum (bread wheat)
Lineage: Eukaryota; Viridiplantae; Streptophyta; Magnoliopsida; Poales; Poaceae
Exons: 3
Source: RefSeq, a predicted model, not a curated record